Molecule: ribosomal RNA, 881 nt
Filed under: Fulvifomes thailandicus
Lineage: Eukaryota; Fungi; Basidiomycota; Agaricomycetes; Hymenochaetales; Hymenochaetaceae
Description: eukaryotic LSU rRNA
Rfam family: Eukaryotic large subunit ribosomal RNA
Source: RNAcentral
UAACAAGGAUUCCCCUAGUAACUGCGAGUGAAGCGGGAAGAGCUCAAAUUUAAAAUCUGGCGGCUUUCAGUCGUCCGAGUUGUAAUCUGGAGAGGCAUUUUCCGCGUUGGACCGUGUACAAGUCUCCUGGAACGGAGCGUCAUAGAGGGUGAGAAUCCCGUCCAUGACACGGACCGCCAGUGCUCUGUGAUAUGCCUUCGAAGAGUCGCGUUGUUUGGGAAUGCAGCGCAAAAUGGGUGGUAAAUUCCAUCUAAAGCUAAAUAUUGGCGAGAGACCGAUAGCGAACAAGUACCGUGAGGGAAAGAUGAAAAGCACUUUGAAAAGAGAGUUAAACAGUACGUGAAAUUGUUGAAAGGGAAACGCUUGAAGUCAGUCGCGUUCCGUGGAACUCAGCCUUACUUUGGUUUGGUGUACUUUCCAUGCGAACGGGUCAACGUCAAUUUCGGCCGGUGGACAAAGGCAAGGGGAAUGUAGCGUCGCUUCGGUGACGUGUUAUAGCCUCUUGUUGUAUACACCGGCUGGGAUUGAGGACCGCAGCACGCCCUUUGUGGCCGGGAGGUUCGCCUCUACGUACCGUGCUUAGGAUGUUGGCAUAAUGGCUUUAAGCGACCCGUCUUGAAACACGGACCAAGGAGUCUAACAUGCUUGCGAGUGUUCGGGUGGAAAACCCUUGCGCGCAAUGAAAGUGAAAGUUAGGAGCCCUUCUCUCUGUGGAGGGGUGCACUGACGCCCGGCCCUGAAGUUCUCUGACGGUGCUGCGGUAGAGCAAGUACGUUGGGACCCGAAAGAUGGUGAACUAUGCCUGAAUAGGGCGAAGCCAGAGGAAACUCUGGUGGAGGCUCGUAGCGAUUCUGACGUGCAAAUCGAUCGUCAAAUUUGGG